Molecule: long non-coding RNA, 1256 nt
Organism: Peromyscus eremicus (cactus mouse)
Lineage: Eukaryota; Metazoa; Chordata; Mammalia; Rodentia; Cricetidae
Exons: 3
Source: RefSeq, a predicted model, not a curated record
UCACGGGACAUGCCCAUGCUUCCAGAGCCAAGGUGGAUCCCAAUGGCUAGUUGGCCAGCCAGUGUGGCUGAUUCGGUGAGAGAGAUUCAGUGAGAGAGAAUCUGUUUCAUAAAUCAAAGUGGAAAGAAGAUACCAGAUGUUGACCUCUGUCCUCUAUGUGUGUUGACAUGGGCAUGUGCAUGCAUGAGCAAGCAAACCCACAUACACAUUGCAUACACCACACAUACAGUUGUUUUGUUCAGGCAUUUGUUAGAGAGAUGGAAGGCAGACUAAUACACAAACAAAAUACAGUACCACUUUGGAUAAAUGAGCAGAUUGCCCCACAUCUUGCUGUAGAUUUCACUCUUUGCUCUGGUCAAAUCUCUUUUGGUCAUCCAGAAAGGAACUUUGUAUGGUUGGAGUCACCACAACAUGAGGAACUGUGCUGUGGAAUAGUCCUUUUUGUACACUGUGAAUAUGUAUUACUCUCAUUGGUUUAAUAAAGAGCUGACUAGCCAAUACCUAGGCAGGAAGAGGUUAGGUGGGAGAGCCAAACUGAGAGGACUCUGGGAAGAAGAAGGGUGGAGUCAUGGGGAGUCACCACCAGAUAUACAGGAAGCAGAAGAUAAACAUGAUGUGCUGAAAAAAGGUACCACCAUGUGGUAAAGCAUAGAUAAGGAAUAUGGAUUAAUUUAAGAUAUAAGAGCUAAUUAACAAUAAGCCUAAGCUAUCGGCCGAGCGUUUAUAAUUAAUAAUAAGUCUCUGUGUGGUUAUUUGAGACAGAAAACCCUGCCUACAGAACUGUAUUAAAGGGUCACAGCAUUAGGAAGGUUGGGCACCACUGAACCAGAUCACAAGCUGAGGACCAAGAAGAGCCCAUGAAGAACCUUUUAGUUCUAAACUACAGAAGGCAUCAGAAAACUAAGGUGUCUACCCAAGACAAAGGAAAGUUGAUGCCCACAAAAGACUUGGACACAAGUAGUCACAGCAACCUCGAAAAAGUCCCUACUGCGACCAACACAAAUGUCCAGCUACGGAAGAAAGAACAAAUAUAGAUUCAUAUAAAUUCCUACACAGCAAUGAAAAGGCACAGACCCCUUCCACAUCAGGACAGAAGAAUCUUCAAAAGACCAUGAUGUAGAAUUCUCAGCUCCUUCUCCAGCACCAUGACUUCCUGCACACCACCAUACUCCCAGCUACCAUGCUCCCCACCGUGAUGAUAAUGGAUAACCUCUGAAUUGUAAGAUGCCACUUCAAUUAAACGUUUUCCUUUAUAA